RNAcentral lists this ribosomal RNA (1302 nucleotides) under Triticum aestivum (bread wheat). Its description in RNAcentral is "partial small subunit ribosomal RNA". Lineage: Eukaryota; Viridiplantae; Streptophyta; Magnoliopsida; Poales; Poaceae. The record is from RNAcentral.
AUGACCAACAAAAUACCUGAAGACAUGGCAGGUGAGACGCAAGAUACGGAUUGCUUGGAGCUUCAAUCGCUGCAACUUGACAUAAAAACACUCCGGCAAGAACGCGAGGAUGACAGAAAGGAGUUCUACCAUUUCACAGAAUCUGUCAACAAGAACUUCGCUAGCAUACAGAAGAAUUUCAAGAAAAUUCAGAUCUCCUUGCUAAAGUUAACAACAGAGCAGUCAGUUGACGAAGAAGAAGAGGAGGAAGAAAGACCAUAUCCGCCGUCAGGGCAAGGAAGCACGGCUGUCCCUCCAGGAAGGCCAAAGCAGCUAUCAAACAACCACCUUGCCACUGAGAAACAUGAACCUGCUACUGGGGGAUCUGCUGUUCUUGUUGACAAAGCAAUAAGCAGAGAGCUAAACAUGGAUGGCACGCCAAAGGUCCCUUACAGGCACCCUAAUCAUACAGCAAACAAGCAAGACUUCCACACCCCUCAGCAACAACAAGAUCAAGGCACAAAACAUAUCCUGACAGUGGACGAAUUACCUGAAGCAAAGGUCAGAAGAGAAAGGAACAGAACUUAUACACCUGAAGUUAGAAGAAAUAUCCUUUGUGUUAAACCUGCUAAGUUAAACAUUGCUGAGUUCGAUGUAGUUGAUGCAGACUCUUGGAUACAAAAUAUUGAACAAUAUUUUUCCGCUGCAAGAACCCCAAUUGAGCAAAGAACUGAGAUAGCAGUUUCAUACUUAAAAGGAGAAGCUAUCCAAUGGUGGAGAGGUGCAGGGUUUAUUGUUCACCAUACUCCAUGGCACAAGUUCUGCUCUGCGAUCACACAAAGAUUUGCGGUAACAUCUGUGUGUGAGAAUGUGAAGGCCUUUCACAAGUUAACACAACAAACUUCAGUUGCUCAGUAUAUUACAGAGUUUGAACAACACAUGAACUUGAUGAGGAGGGACAAUCCUGCAGUACCUGAUGACUAUUAUAUGCAUAGUUUCAUUGCUGGGCUAAACCCUUACAUCCAAAGUCACCUGGAAUGUUUAGAACCUACGGACAUGAACAAAGCUAUGUGGUUAGCCAGACGAAUUGAAAAGUCCUGCCCCCCUGCCAUCACUCAGAAGCCUUAUGUGCCCAACUACAGAAAAGGAACUACAGGAGAAAUAUCUAAACCUGUCCUUCCUGCCAGCACAUCUCCUGCUGCUGUUAUACAACAAGCUAGAGAAAAAGUUAUUUGUUAUGAAUGCAGAGAACCAUGGUUCCCAGGGCAGAAGCAAGUGUGCAAGAUGUCACCAAAAGCACAAGUUCAGGCACUGCAAGCAUAA